Molecule: long non-coding RNA, 2352 nt
Organism: Chinchilla lanigera (long-tailed chinchilla)
Lineage: Eukaryota; Metazoa; Chordata; Mammalia; Rodentia; Chinchillidae
Exons: 4
Source: RefSeq, a predicted model, not a curated record
UCUUACUACUGUCACCGAGACUUACUCCUCAAGCAUUCCUGUUUAAAGGCCUUGUAUCUGUAAGAUAAAAUUUAAUUGUGCACAUCAGCGCCUGGCGCUAAAUAUCUUUUACAGCGUGCAUAAAAAGCAGCUCGUGCCUCUCGUUUUAGCAGAUGUAGGGAAGAAAAGACUUCGGACGGAAGAUUGCAGGGACGGGGGCGCCCUGCAUGCGCAGGCACUGGGACAGACGAUGACAUCCCCCACCCGCGCCAUUGCGGGAGACCUCCGAGCCCAGCACUCCGUGAACCAGAAAGGCUGAGCAUGGAUGUGGGAAAGGAGAAGAAAAGAUUGUUUUUCUGUCCAGGUUUGGUCUCUGUGGUGGGUACUGCUGCACUGCGUGGGGACCACCUUUUCCUCGUCUAUUCAUCUACUGAAAGGCACAGCGGUGGAUUCCAUACCUUGGCUCUUGUGAGCGGUGUGAGCCCAAACACAAUUAGAUGGAAAGGGUGUCCAAACGAUGAAGACAUUUUCCCCCAAUGAGCAGCAACCCACCCACGGUGUCAGUGUGUUCUCCGAACUGGCUGCUUAAUGACGGUCGGAUUCCUGCCCAGCUCCUACCGCCUGCAGCUCCGGGAGGCGCCUACGCGACCCAGAGGCUGGUGACAGGACACAGCGUCGGCAGGGGGAGGGGAGCGGCCUGCAGUCUGGCCUCUCCAGGGACCCUGCUGACUUUUCAUUUUGUUAACUGAGGGCUGCUGGGGAGGAGGUUAGAUCCAGGUGUGUGACAUGCGUGCAUGGAGCUGUCACAGUGAGGAUAUCGUUCUAGGUAAUUAAUAGGCAUUAAUAAAAAAUUCAAGAAAUUAUAUCAAGAAAUGUACAGGGGUUAAAACCAUCAAAAUUGCAUCGUGUUGGGAAUUUUUGUUAAGAAAGUGCAUUUUGGUUGCUUUUGUCUCAAAUAAGUAACCGUAUGAAGUGACAGACCUGUUAUCGACUUCACCAUAGUAACCAUGUCCCUCUUUUUAUCCUUUAACAUCACGAUGUAAUCCUUAAUAUACACAAUGAAAUUUAAUAAAAAGACCUGGAGAACGGAGUUCUCAAAGGGCUCCAGAUGUCCAAGCUAUCAGCAAAACCUGUAAAGCUGCACACAACAGGGUGCGUCUACUGACCCCUGCCCUGCUUGUCCCUUGGCCCUGGCCCCCUGACACCCACAAUGCAGUUGAAGGCCUUUUCUGGAUUUAUAGAAUGGAAGCUCAAGCCACUUUAAAAAAAAAUCCAUCUUACUUUAUGGACUGAGAAAAUAAUGAUCAUCUCCCUUCUCACAAAAUCUAUGCAGCAUUUGUGCCUGCACUUUAUGACUAUAAACAUGUCCUCCCUGAUGGAAGGAUUCUCAGUGAGAUCUUGUAUUCACUCGUUGUUGCUGCUAUAACAAAUCACCACAAAGCCAGAGGAAUAAAAUGCCCUCAAGCUCAUGAUCAUACAGUUCUGGGGGGUGGAAGUCCGAUAGGGGUCUAACAGCGGCACACAAGACCCCCAGACAAGGGCUGAGGUGAUUUCAGAUGCUCCAAGGGAGAAUCUAUUCCUGUGCCUUUGUCCCCUCCUUGAGACAGUCUGCAUUCCAUGGCUUGUGGUCUCCUCCUCCAUCAUCAAAGCCAGCAACGUGGCAUGAUCUGGUCUUUGCUGUCUCCCAUCUAUCCUGUCCUGAUUCUUUAAUCAUUGCAUUGCUCCAUCAAAAGAUGCUUCCACCUCAAAAUCCUUAACCUAAGGACCUAACGACAUCUGAAAAGUCCCUUCUGGAAUGGAAGGAAACAUGUUUACAGGGGAUUAGGGUAUGGACAGAUUUUACCUUCCUUCCACCAAGGUUCAGGGCUGGGAUGGUUCAAAUGUACUAUUUUGGGCCAAAUGCUUUCAUUUAAUUCCUAUGAUGAGGACAGUCAGCCACAUAUUUAGUCGUAGAGAAGGAAAAGUAGCUACAGAUAGUGGAAAUAAACCUAGAGAAAACAUCAAGGCCCACUGAUGCUUUUCCAUGACACAGGAAAAUUGAUUUGUAUUUGUCUGGUAGAUUUUACGGACAGAGCAAGUGCCCAUAUUACUGAAGUUUGAAAUGUUACCCAAAACAGAACAUGGAGGCUAUUCUCGUUUUCUAGAAAUUUUUAGAUCUUUUUUUGUAUGUGGCUAUGUUAAAUGAUCUAAUGAGGAAAUAAGUAGAAAUUAUCAAGCUGUGGACUUGAGUUUUAUACUUAAAUAAAUACAUAUCUUUCUGGUAACAGGUAUCACCAGUGGACAGGGCUAUUAACAGUGGGCUUCUAGUGAAUGAAUGUGAUUCCAUGGGGAAAGCCACUGUUGUGAGAUUUUUGUGGAGUGCAUUGUUUGCAU